GAGAACACGCUCAAGUCCCUCACACGGCCUGCACACGCUCGUGUCAUUGCCUAUGUCCAAAAACCUGGACAUUCUGUUUAUGACAUCAUCACUUAUUGAGGGGCACACGACCAUGACACAUGCUCGUGUGCUAGGUCGUGUCGUCCACACGGUUGAGACACACGAUCGUGUCUCUGCCCAUGCAUUUAUUACCAUGCAUACUGACUUAGG
RNAcentral lists this long non-coding RNA (210 nucleotides) under Gossypium barbadense (sea-island cotton). RNAcentral's name for it is "long non-coding RNA (GBAR_LNC005549)". Lineage: Eukaryota; Viridiplantae; Streptophyta; Magnoliopsida; Malvales; Malvaceae. The record is from RNAcentral.